Molecule: non-coding RNA, 535 nt
Organism: Rhinichthys klamathensis goyatoka
Lineage: Eukaryota; Metazoa; Chordata; Actinopteri; Cypriniformes; Leuciscidae
Source: the annotation of a RefSeq genome assembly
AGUGUGUGAGAGUGUUUAUAGUGCUGUGAGUUUAACACUUCAUCACUGACACACACAACAAUCUUCAUCAACAUGACCUUCAUCAUCAUCUUCAUCUGGACACUUUUAUACUGCUUUAUACUACAAGGAUGUAGAGCUCAGAUCACAGCAACUCAGACUCCUUCAGUGAAAACUGCUAAACCAGGAGAAACUGUAGAGAUGAGCUGUAAAUUCAGUAGUGAUGAUACAGCCUGCAGCCCAGCCUGUGUGUCCUGGUACUUACAGAAACCUGGAGAAGCUCCUAAACUCCUGAUCUAUCGUGUAAACAGCCGCCAGUCAGGAACUCCAUCUAGAUUCAGUGGCAGCAGUGGAUCUAGCAAAGAUUUCACUCUGACCAUCAGUGCAGUCCAGACUGAAGAUGCUGGACAUUAUUAUUGUAUGAGUAGCAACCGUGGUCCAGUGUUCACACAGUGAUAAAGAGUCGUACAAAAACCUCCGUCAGUCAGAGUCACAGUGACUGAACUGAAACUGCAGCUGCUCACACACACACACACAC